UUACAGGUUCUCGGUGUGCUUCUGCCAAAAACCCAAAUUCUAUGGUUGACCUCGGAUCAGGUAGGGAUACCCGCUGAACUUAA
This 83-nucleotide ribosomal RNA is filed under the name Cristulariella depraedans. RNAcentral's name for it is "partial 29S ribosomal RNA". The record is from RNAcentral. Lineage: Eukaryota; Fungi; Ascomycota; Leotiomycetes; Helotiales; Sclerotiniaceae.